AGAGUUUGAUCAUGGCUCAGGAUGAACGCUGGCGGCGUGCUUAACACAUGCAAGUCGAACGAGCGGAGGGCUUCGGCCCGAAGCGAGUGGCGGACGGGUGAGUAACGCGUGGGUAACCUGCCCCAUACAGGGGAAUAACAGUGAGAAAUCACUGCUAAUGCCGCAUAAGCGCACAGUACCGCAUGGUACGGUGUGAAAAGCUCCGGCGGUAUGGGAUGGACCCGCGUCUGAUUAGGCAGUUGGCGGGGUAACGGCCCACCAAACCGACGAUCAGUAGCCGACCUGAGAGGGUGACCGGCCACAUUGGGACUGAGACACGGCCCAGACUCCUACGGGAGGCAGCAGUGGGGAAUAUUGCACAAUGGGGGAAACCCUAAUGCAGCAACGCCGCGUGAGUGAAGAAGUAUCUCGGUAUGUAAAGCUCUAUCAGCAGGGAAGAAAAUGACGGUACCUGACUAAGAAGCCCCGGCUAACUACGUGCCAGCAGCCGCGGUAAUACGUAGGGGGCAAGCGUUAUCCGGAUUUACUGGGUGUAAAGGGAGCGCAGGCGGCGAAGCAAGCCAGAGGUGAAAACCCGGGGCUCAACCCCGAGGAUUGCCUUUGGAACUGUUUUGCUUGAGUACUGGAGGGGCAGGCGGAAUUCCUGGUGUAGCGGUGAAAUGCGUAGAUAUCAGGAGGAACACCGGUGGCGAAGGCGGCCUGCUGGACAGAAACUGACGCUGAGGCUCGAAAGCGUGGGGAGCAAACAGGAUUAGAUACCCCGGUAGU
Molecule: ribosomal RNA, 768 nt
Filed under: uncultured bacterium
Lineage: Bacteria
Description: bacterial SSU rRNA
Rfam family: Bacterial small subunit ribosomal RNA
Source: RNAcentral